AUACGGAGGGGGCAAGCGUUGUUCGGAAUUACUGGGCGUAAAGGGCGUGUAGGCGGUUAGGUAAGUCAGCUGUGAAAGCCCCGAGCUUAACUUGGGAAUUGCAACUGAAACUGCCUAGCUAGAGUUUUGGAGAGGAAAGCGGAACUCCCAGUGUAGCGGUGAAAUGCGUAGAUAUUGGGAGGAACACCGGUGGCGAAGGCGGCUUUCUGGACAAAAACUGACGCUGAGGCGCGAAAGCUAGGGGAGC
This 247-nucleotide ribosomal RNA is filed under the name uncultured bacterium. RNAcentral's name for it is "partial 16S ribosomal RNA". It matches the Rfam family "Bacterial small subunit ribosomal RNA", at positions 523 to 769 of the family's 1533-position model. The record is from RNAcentral.